GGGUCUGUAGCUCAGCUGGUUGAGAGCGCCGCCCUGAUAAGGGUGAGGUCGGUGGUUCAAAUCCACGCCAGACCCACCA
This 79-nucleotide transfer RNA is filed under the name Enterobacterales bacterium. RNAcentral describes it as "tRNA-Ile". It matches the Rfam family "tRNA". Rfam says of the family: Transfer RNA (tRNA) molecules are approximately 80 nucleotides in length. Their secondary structure includes four short double-helical elements and three loops (D, anti-codon, and T loops). The record is from RNAcentral. Lineage: Bacteria; Pseudomonadati; Pseudomonadota; Gammaproteobacteria; Enterobacterales.